This 638-nucleotide ribosomal RNA is filed under the name Penicillium sp. QLF43. Its description in RNAcentral is "eukaryotic LSU rRNA". The stretch from base 162 to 315 matches the Rfam family "5.8S ribosomal RNA". The record is from RNAcentral. Lineage: Eukaryota; Fungi; Ascomycota; Eurotiomycetes; Eurotiales; Aspergillaceae.
UUGCUACUGAGUGCGGCUGCCUCCGGGCGCCCAACCUCCCACCCGUGAAUACCUAACACUGUUGCUUCGGCGGGGAACCCCCUCGGGGGCGAGCCGCCGGGGACUACUGAACUUCAUGCCUGAGAGUGAUGCAGUCUGAGUCUGAAUAUAAAAUCAGUCAAAACUUUCAACAAUGGAUCUCUUGGUUCCGGCAUCGAUGAAGAACGCAGCGAACUGCGAUAAGUAAUGUGAAUUGCAGAAUUCAGUGAAUCAUCGAGUCUUUGAACGCACAUUGCGCCCCCUGGCAUUCCGGGGGGCAUGCCUGUCCGAGCGUCAUUGCUGCCCAUCAAGCCCGGCUUGUGUGUUGGGUCGUCGUCCCCCCCCGGGGGACGGGCCCGAAAGGCAGCGGCGGCACCGUGUCCGGUCCUCGAGCGUAUGGGGCUUUGUCACCCGCUCGACUAGGGCCGGCCGGGCGCCAGCCGACGUCUCCAACCAUUUUUCUUCAGGUUGACCUCGGAUCAGGUAGGGAUACCCGCUGAACUUAAGCAUAUCAAUAAGCGGAGGAAUCAUUACUGAGUGCGGGCUGCCUCCGGGCGCCCAACCUCACCGUGAAUACUAACACUGUUGCUUGGCGGGAACCCUCGGGGCGAGCCCGGGAC